GUCCUGAAAUGGAGUAUUUUUUAAUCAACAGCAUUGUCUUUAAUUAGUAAUAAAUAAAGUUGAAUUCUUUGAUUCGCUGUUUUACGUCAUGUCCGCUAACAAAUUAAAAACUUAACCUAUGCGUCUUAUGUUAAGUCCAGACUUUUAGUAUUCGUAUUGUCAUCUUAGAAAGUCUUACUGGUUAAAAUACUACAAUAGGGAAA
Molecule: long non-coding RNA, 203 nt
Filed under: Mytilus galloprovincialis (Mediterranean mussel)
Lineage: Eukaryota; Metazoa; Mollusca; Bivalvia; Mytilida; Mytilidae
Source: RNAcentral